AGAGUUUGAUCCUGGCUCAGGACGAACGCUGGCGGCGUGCCUAAUACAUGCAAGUCGAGCGGACAGAUGGGUAGCUUGCUCCCUGAUGUCAGCGGCGGACGGGUGAGAAACACGUGGGUAACCUGCCUGUAAGACUGGGAUAACUCCGGGAAACCGGGGCUAAUACCGGAUGCUUGAUUGAACCGCAUGGUUCAAUUAUAAAAGGUGGCUUUUACCUACCACUUACAAAUGGACCCCCGGCGCAUUACCUAGUUGGUGAGGUAACGGCUCACCAAGGCAACAAUGCGUACCCAACCUGAAAGGGUGAUCGGCCACACUGGGACUGAAACACGGCCCAAACUCCUACGGGAGGCACCAUUAGGGAAUCUUCCGCAAUGGACAAAAGUCUGACGGACCAACGCCCCGUGAGUGAUGAAGGUUUUCGGAUCGUAAAACUCUGUUGUUAGGGAAAAACAAGUACCGUUCGAAUAGGGCGGUACCUUGACGGUACCUACCCAGAAAGCCACGGCUAACUACUUGCCACCACCCGCGGUAAUACGUAGGUGGCAAGCGUUGUCCGGAAUUAUUGGGCGUAAAGCGCGCGCAGCCGGUUUCUUAAUUCUGAUGUGAAAGCCCCCGGCUCACCCGGGAAGGGUCAUUGAAAACUGGGGAACUUGAGCGCAGAAGAGGAGAGUGGAAUUCCACGUGUAGCGGUGAAAUGCGUAGAGAUGUGGAGGAACACCAGUGGCGAAGGCGACUCUCUGGUCUGUAACUGACGCUGAGGCGCGAAAGCGUGGGGAGCGAACAGGAUUAGAUACCCUGGUAGUCCACGCCGUAAACGAUGAGUGCUAAGUGUUAGAGCGUUUCCCGCCCUUUAGUGCUGCAG
RNAcentral lists this ribosomal RNA (865 nucleotides) under Bacillus licheniformis. RNAcentral describes it as "bacterial SSU rRNA". It matches the Rfam family "Bacterial small subunit ribosomal RNA", at positions 8 to 851 of the family's 1533-position model. Lineage: Bacteria; Bacillati; Bacillota; Bacilli; Caryophanales; Bacillaceae. The record is from RNAcentral.